This is a long non-coding RNA of Pimephales promelas (fathead minnow), 344 nucleotides long. RefSeq lists it as uncharacterized. NCBI's taxonomy places the organism in Eukaryota, Metazoa, Chordata, Actinopteri, Cypriniformes, Leuciscidae. The record is from RefSeq and is a predicted model, not a curated record.
AAACCAAACCCAACCAAGGUAACGGCACUUCCAUGAGAAAAGCAAGUUUGAGGCUUCAAGUGGAACAGCAUUCAUCCGGACACUGAGAAAAAUCCUUCAUGUCUUUGCUGACAGUGAAGACAAGUGUGACCAGCUGCAGGAGCUGUUAAAAGGCUGACAACAUUUUGGCGUCCAGACACCAAAUCAUGACCAAUCCUGGUGAAACGGCAUGUGACGUGGACACAACCAACAGCCUGAUUUACAGUUCAGGGCUAGGAAUAAACUCAUUUCUGCUAUUCCAGUGAAUAAAAGACAACAAACUAGUGGUCAGAUAGUGUUUUUUAGUGGCUGAUUUCUAGAGAUUA